RNAcentral lists this ribosomal RNA (613 nucleotides) under Lactifluus edulis. RNAcentral's name for it is "eukaryotic LSU rRNA". It matches the Rfam family "Eukaryotic large subunit ribosomal RNA", at positions 38 to 621 of the family's 3401-position model. Lineage: Eukaryota; Fungi; Basidiomycota; Agaricomycetes; Russulales; Russulaceae. The record is from RNAcentral.
GCAUAUCAAUAAGCGGAGGAAAAGAAACUAACAAGGAUUCCCCUAGUAACUGCGAGUGAAGCGGGAAGAGCUCAAAUUUAAAAUCUGGCGGUCUUUGGCUGUCCGAGUUGUAAUUUAGAGAAGCGUCUUCCGCGCCGGACCGUGCACAAGUCUCCUGGAAUGGAGCGUCAUAGAGGGUGAGAAUCCCGUCUUUGGCACGGACCCCCCGGGGCUUCUGUGAUGCGCUCUCGAAGAGUCGAGUUGUUUGGGAAUGCAGCUCAAAAUGGGUGGUGAACUCCAUCUAAAGCUAAAUAUUGGCGAGAGACCGAUAGCGAACAAGUACCGUGAGGGAAAGAUGAAAAGCACUUUGGAAAGAGAGUGAAACAGUACGUGAAAUUGUUGAAAGGGAAACGCUUGGAGUCAGUCGCGUCGGCCGAGACUCAGCCUCGCCUCGGCUUGGCGUACUUCUCGACCGACGGGCCAGCAUCAAUUUCGUCUCUCGGAUAAUGGCAAGGGAAAGGUGGCACCCUUUUGGGUGUGUUAUAGUCUCCUGUCGAAUGCGAGGGGUGGGAUUGAGGAACUCAGCACGCGCCCACUCGGCGUCGGGGCUUCGGCCCACGUUUACGUGCUUAGG